RNAcentral lists this ribosomal RNA (1169 nucleotides) under uncultured Bacteroides sp. Its description in RNAcentral is "bacterial SSU rRNA". It matches the Rfam family "Bacterial small subunit ribosomal RNA", at positions 10 to 1177 of the family's 1533-position model. The record is from RNAcentral. Lineage: Bacteria; Pseudomonadati; Bacteroidota; Bacteroidia; Bacteroidales; Bacteroidaceae.
AGUUUGAUCCUGGCUCAGGAUGAACGCUAGCUACAGGCUUAACACAUGCAAGUCGAGGGGCAGCAUUGGAGUAGCAAUACUUCAGAUGGCGACCGGCGCACGGGUGGGUAACACGUAUCCAACCUGCCGCUUACUCGGGGAUAGCCUUUCGAAAGAAAGAUUAAUACCCGAUGGUAUAAAGAGUUCGCAUGUUCUCUUUAUUAAAGAAUUUCGGUAAGCGAUGGGGAUGCGUUCCAUUAGAUAGUUGGCGGGGUAACGGCCCACCAAGUCUACGAUGGAUAGGGGUUCUGAGAGGAAGGUCCCCCACAUUGGAACUGAGACACGGUCCAAACUCCUACGGGAGGCAGCAGUGAGGAAUAUUGGUCAAUGGACGAGAGUCUGAACCAGCCAAGUAGCGUGAAGGAUGACUGCCCUAUGGGUUGUAAACUUCUUUUAUAAGGGAAUAAAGUGAGGGACGUGUCCCUUUUUGUAUGUACCUUAUGAAUAAGGAUCGGCUAACUCCGUGCCAGCAGCCGCGGUAAUACGGAGGAUCCGAGCGUUAUCCGGAUUUAUUGGGUUUAAAGGGAGCGUAGGUUGACGUAUAAGUCAGCUGUGAAAGUUUACGGCUCAACCGUGAAAUUGCAGUUGAUACUGUAUGUCUUGAGUGUACAAGAGGUGGGCGGAAUUCGUGGUGUAGCGGUGAAAUGCUUAGAUAUCACGAAGAACUCCAAUUGCGAAGGCAGCUCACUGGGGUACAACUGACACUGAGGCUCGAAAGUGUGGGUAUCAAACAGGAUUAGAUACCCUGGUAGUCCACACAGUAAACGAUGAAUACUCGCUGUUUGCGAUAUACAGUAAGCGGCCAAGCGAAAGCAUUAAGUAUUCCACCUGGGGGGUACGCCGGCAACGGUGAAACUCAAAGGAAUUGACGGGGGCCCGCACAAGCGGAGGAACAUGUGGUUUAAUUCGAUGAUACGCGAGGAACCUUACCCGGGCUUGAAUUGCAGAGGAACAUAGUUGAAAGAUUAUGGCCGCAAGGUCUCUGUGAAGGUGCUGCAUGGUUGUCGUCAGCUCGUGCCGUGAGGUGUCGGCUUAAGUGCCAUAACGAGCGCAACCCUUAUCAUUAGUUACUAACAGGUCAUGCUGAGGACUCUAGUGAGACUGCCGUCGUAAGAUGUGAGGAAGGUGGA